UACCAGCACCCCGAGUGGUCGGGACGAUUAUUGGGCCUAAAGCAUCCGUAGCCGGUCCUGCAAGUCUCCCGUUAAAUCCAGCUGCUCAACAGAUGGGCUGCGGGGGAUACUACAGGGCUAGGAGGCGGGAGAGGCAAGCGGUACUUUAUGGGUAGGGGUAAAAUCCGUUGAUCCAUAGAAGACCACCAGUGGCGAAGGCGGCUUGCCAGAACGCGCUCGACGGUGAGGGAUGAAAGCUGGGGGAGCAAACAGG
RNAcentral lists this ribosomal RNA (253 nucleotides) under uncultured bacterium. Its description in RNAcentral is "partial 16S ribosomal RNA". It matches the Rfam family "Archaeal small subunit ribosomal RNA", at positions 474 to 727 of the family's 1478-position model. The record is from RNAcentral.